AGGACGAACGCUGGCGGCGUGCUUAACACAUGCAAGUCGAGCGGAAAGGCCCUUCGGGGUACUCGAGCGGCGAACGGGUGAGUAACACGUGAGCAAUCUGCCCCUAGCUUCGGGAUAGCUCCGGGAAACCGGAAUUAAUACCGAAUACGACUACGGCCGACAUCGGCUGUGGUGGAAAGUUUUUCGGCUAGGGAUGAGCUCGCGGCCUAUCAGCUUGUUGGUGAGGUAACGGCUCACCAAGGCGACGACGGGUAGCCGGCCUGAGAGGGCGACCGGCCACACUGGGACUGAGACACGGCCCAGACUCCUACGGGAGGCAGCAGUGGGGAAUAUUGCGCAAUGGGCGAAAGCCUGACGCAGCGACGCCGCGUGCGGGAUGAAGGCCUUCGGGUUGUAAACCGCUUUCAGCAGGGACGAAGCGAAAGUGACGGUACCUGCAGAAGAAGCGCCGGCUAACUACGCGCCAGCGACGCCGC
RNAcentral lists this ribosomal RNA (476 nucleotides) under uncultured bacterium. RNAcentral's name for it is "SSU rRNA". It matches the Rfam family "Bacterial small subunit ribosomal RNA", at positions 26 to 518 of the family's 1533-position model. The record is from RNAcentral.